AUGGCUCAGAUUGAACGCUGGCGGCAGGCCUAACACAUGCAAGUCGAGCGGAUGACAGGAGCUUGCUCC
Molecule: ribosomal RNA, 69 nt
Filed under: Pseudomonas sp. LAIL14HWK12:I4
Lineage: Bacteria; Pseudomonadati; Pseudomonadota; Gammaproteobacteria; Pseudomonadales; Pseudomonadaceae
Description: 16S rRNA. Bacterial SSU
Source: RNAcentral